AGCUACAUUCCUUCCAAAUGGGAAGAAUUUACCAUACUUUGAAGGCUUUCUUACAUUUAUCGAGAAGAGCAAAUUUAGAAAUCAUCCAGAACUGCUACCGUACAAGCGGCGCCCCUUGGUUUUUAUGUCCCCACUAGAAAGAGCUGCUGCUUUGGAUAAUCUUUUGAAGAUUUAUUUCCGGCUCAAUGGUACUCAGCAGAAGGCUUUCCGGUCAACAUUGGCCAGCUUCGAUUGCCCCAAGUGGCCUGAGGCAAAAAGUUAUUGCAUUUUUGAACCUCUGGUUACUUAUCAAAUGGACAAGCGUGGCUCCGAUACAUACCUAAAAGAGCACUUUUAUUGUUUACUCAUUUUGCGAAACCAUAAUGAGCACGGCAAAGUGGUACUAAAUGUCUAAUCUCUUUAUUAUAACUGUUUCCCUUUUAUUGUUUGCUGUUGUUCUAAAGAUUAGUUUAAAUUACAGUUGCCAUGGGAAUUGCUUGAUUAUGCCUCAGUUGCGUGCUUCGGAGAUUUUGUUCAGGAUUCUUUCUUGGGUCUUAUGCUAAAGGGCUAUGAAGUUCAUAAAGCCCUUGCUUAAAGGCAUUUGGCAGGCAGAAGGUGGAGCCUGAGGUCAAGGAGGAGACUCCGGGUGUGAUGCCAGAAGUACCGGCGGCAACUGAGUCUCAGUGAAGGCGUCCUGAGCUCGUGAUCGUCUUCCAUGAAUCUGAAGCUUCAUUCACUGAGAGUUGUGAGGUCUUAUCAGCAUAGAGUUAUCUUUUGGUUUUGUCCUUGUCUUUGCUUAGUUGGGACAUGGUUUGCCUGAGCGAUUUCAACUUGUAAGACACCAAGACCCGUUCCAGUUAUGGAUCUUAAUCUGGUUGGAACCGCCGUCAUUUGCGGUGCAUUUUGGUGAUAUUCGUUUUGCCAUCACCUAUGCUUCAUUCUGUCGAAUGGAAUGGAAGAUCAUUUGAUCA
Triticum aestivum (bread wheat) is the source of this 950-nucleotide long non-coding RNA. RefSeq lists it as uncharacterized. Lineage: Eukaryota; Viridiplantae; Streptophyta; Magnoliopsida; Poales; Poaceae. The record is from RefSeq and is a predicted model, not a curated record. The transcript has 3 exons.